Molecule: ribosomal RNA, 427 nt
Filed under: uncultured bacterium
Lineage: Bacteria
Description: bacterial SSU rRNA
Rfam family: Bacterial small subunit ribosomal RNA
Source: RNAcentral
UCGAGAAUUUUUCACAAUGGGCGAAAGCCUGAUGGAGCGACGCCGCGUGGGGGAUGAAUGGCUUCGGCCCGUAAACCCCUGUCAUUCGCGAGCAAACGUUAUUAUUUAAAAGAUGAUAGCCUGAUAGUAGCGAAAGAGGAAGGGACGGCUAACUCUGUGCCAGCAGCCGCGGUAAUACAGAGGUCCCAAGCGUUGUUCGGAUUUACUGGGCGUAAAGGGUGCGUAGGUGGUGGGGUAAGUCGGAUGUGAAAUCUCCGAGCUCAACUCGGAAAGUGCAUUGGAAACUACCCUGCUCGAGGGUUGGAGGGGGAACUGGAAUACUUGGUCUAGCAGUGAAAUGCGUAGAUAUCAAGUGGAACACCAGUGGCGAAGGCGAGUCCCUGGACAACCCCUGACACUGAGGCACGAAAGCUAGGGGAGCAAACAG